CUGCAUCGAGCCCUUCGU
Molecule: small nuclear RNA, 18 nt
Filed under: Arabidopsis thaliana (thale cress)
Lineage: Eukaryota; Viridiplantae; Streptophyta; Magnoliopsida; Brassicales; Brassicaceae
Description: snRNA_12113
Source: RNAcentral